CAGUUUAAUCCAUGAAUUUUGUAAAAUUAUGAUUUUUUUUUUAUUAUGUGCCAAAAAGUAUUUCAGAAGUAUUGUUGAUUUAUUAUCUAUAUGUUUAAAUAUUGAUAACUACAUCUAUUGAUCACAUAAACCUUUGUUAUAUCCAAACAAGUAUAUAAUUCAAAUGUGUUGAUGAUUUAUUAUGUUUUAUUUGAUUUUAUUUGAAUUUAAAGUUGAUUAAAUAUUAUGUUUAAAUAUAUUUAAGUAUUUCAAGAGCACCAUAUACGAACUUCUUUUGUAAUGAAAGUGGUUGAAUACUACAAAGUGAGAAUUUGAUACAUGAUUUUGAAUAAUAAAUAUGAACUAUAUCUUUAAGAAUAUACAUGGAAUGUGUGUUUACAUCCAUAUGAUCUAAUGAAACUCGUUAUAUGAUUGUGAGUAAUUGAUAUAGAUAUAUUUUUGGAAGUAUCUAUAAAAUAUGUGUGUUUGCAUAUGGAGUGGUGAUUAUUAUGAAAUAUGUGUUUAUGAAGUGUGGACUAGGCAUUUUGAUAUCAUUCAAGAGGGACGCAUUUGAUUUCUGCACACAAGGCGUGCAAAAUAUGUGUUUAAUAUGUGCACACGAGGCGUGUAAAUGAUAUAUGUCAUGUAUGCAUGUAGCACCAUGCGAUGUAUUUGAUGUGUGCAAGUUAGGCGUGCAUAUGAUGUAUUUAGUGUGACUGACCAUCACACAUUUUUAAAACAUUGUACCAUUUAUGCAAACUAAUGUACCUUGGGAAUGAUGUGAUGAGUUAUGCACUAAUAUGAAAGUUUUUAAUACAAUCAUCAUCAUAUAUGUGUUAUGAAAA
Long non-coding RNA from Populus euphratica (Euphrates poplar), 824 nucleotides. RefSeq lists it as uncharacterized. The record is from RefSeq and is a predicted model, not a curated record. NCBI's taxonomy places the organism in Eukaryota, Viridiplantae, Streptophyta, Magnoliopsida, Malpighiales, Salicaceae. The transcript has 2 exons.